This 119-nucleotide ribosomal RNA is filed under the name Mus caroli (Ryukyu mouse). Lineage: Eukaryota; Metazoa; Chordata; Mammalia; Rodentia; Muridae. The record is from RNAcentral.
GUCUAUGGCCAAACCACCCUGAAUGUGCCUGAUCUCGUCUAAUCUUGGAAGCUAAGCAGGGUAGGGCCUGGUUAGUACUUAGAUGGGAGACUGUUUGGAAAUACCGGGUGCAGUAGGCU